Molecule: long non-coding RNA, 3008 nt
Filed under: Lactuca sativa (garden lettuce)
Lineage: Eukaryota; Viridiplantae; Streptophyta; Magnoliopsida; Asterales; Asteraceae
Description: long non-coding RNA (LSAT_LNC002067)
Source: RNAcentral
GGGAGCGAAUGAUUAAGGAGGCCAUAGAUACUCCUAGCAUCCUAUGGCUCGAGCCGGCGAUCUCAUUCGACUGCUAUAAUUCUGUCGAUUCGCAGUUCGACAUGCCGUUGACUCGAAAGGCGUUUAUCUUCCACGCCUUCUCCAAUAUUUUUGAAGUCCCUCAUCCGAACCCUGAGGUUGAUAGGGAACUGAUCGAUUUCUAUCUGAAGGCGGCUCGUCCUCAGUAUCUAACAUGGAGCGCCCAGAAGAUAGUGAAUGUUCGGGUAUUGAAGCCUUAUACCGAAGGAAGAUUCAUCAAUGUUCGGUUCAAGGUGAUUCGAGGGUCUGCAAGAACUGAACAUCUAAUAUCCCUGGCAGAUCUAUCGAACCUAAAUCCUCAUGAUUGGAUCGUUUUGCAUAACAUCCUCUUGACGAAUGAAGCUGAAUAUGGUCCGAUUAUAGACCAUCUCAAGAGGAUGAUUGUCUGUUACAUCAUGGAGGUAGCCCUAAUGGAUCAGGAGGUAGCCACUGUCUUCAAGAAGAAACCGACGAUAGCUCCUGUGGGAUCGGCCAGUGAUCUCAAUCAAAUGAAAAUGGGCAAGAUCGACCCGAGACGCAAUUCGGUCAUGUUCACUAGAGUAGAAGGACAGAAAUGUCUCUUUGCUUUAGCUGACAAACAUCUUUACACCACUACUUGUCUAGAGCACGUGUUGUCGAUCGUCCGAAGGUGUAAAGAGAAUGCAGCGGAUGAUGUUAAGUACUUCAAUGAUAUGAUCCAAUGGUACAUCAGGUUUAGACAGACGAUACUGGCUCUUAUCUCACGUCUGUUUAAUACCGUGAAGAAGAAAGUACCUGCCACCGCUGCUGGCCCAAGUAACAAGUGAAGAUCUCGCUCCAAUUGACACAAAGGGGGAGAUUGUUGGGUUGAAGAUUUGUUCAAGGGUUGCGUCAUUGGGCUCGGCUGUUAGUCCAUUUGUUUUGUGCUCCGGUUUUGGGCCUGUCCAACCGAGAGCCCGUUAGGUUUAUUAUAUAAGUAUAUGCUUGCAUGCAUAUUAGGCUAACGAUCUUGAUAACGCUUUAGAGAAUUACGAUUACUUUUCUUUAUCGUUCUUGUAAACCUACUAAUCCUCUACAGUUGAUGUUCUUACUCGAGCUCUUCUGAGGGUUUAUUUUAUAAUCAUUCGACACGUAAAAACAGUCGCAAUGUUGAUGAUGAUGUCAAUCGUGUGGCGCGAGAGGCUGAAGAAGCCGAACGCAAGAAGAAAGAAGCCCACGAUCUCCUUGAGAGCAGGAAGACUCUCUUCCCUGCCUGGACUCGGGAGCGAAUGAUUAAGGAGGCCAUAGAUACUCCUAGCAUCCUAUGGCUCGAGCCGGCGAUCUCAUUCGACUGCUAUAAUUCUGUCGAUUCGCAGUUCGACAUGCCGUUGACUCGAAAGGCGUUUAUCUUCCACGCCUUCUCCAAUAUUUUUGAAGUCCCUCAUCCGAACCCUGAGGUUGAUAGGGAACUGAUCGAUUUCUAUCUGAAGGCGGCUCGUCCUCAGUAUCUAACAUGGAGCGCCCAGAAGAUAGUGAAUGUUCGGGUAUUGAAGCCUUAUACCGAAGGAAGAUUCAUCAAUGUUCGGUUCAAGGUGAUUCGAGGGUCUGCAAGAACUGAACAUCUAAUAUCCCUGGCAGAUCUAUCGAACCUAAAUCCUCAUGAUUGGAUCGUUUUGCAUAACAUCCUCUUGACGAAUGAAGCUGAAUAUGGUCCGAUUAUAGACCAUCUCAAGAGGAUGAUUGUCUGUUACAUCAUGGAGGUAGCCCUAAUGGAUCAGGAGGUAGCCACUGUCUUCAAGAAGAAACCGACGAUAGCUCCUGUGGGAUCGGCCAGUGAUCUCAAUCAAAUGAAAAUGGGCAAGAUCGACCCGAGACGCAAUUCGGUCAUGUUCACUAGAGUAGAAGGACAGAAAUGUCUCUUUGCUUUAGCUGACAAACAUCUUUACACCACUACUUGUCUAGAGCACGUGUUGUCGAUCGUCCGAAGGUGUAAAGAGAAUGCAGCGGAUGAUGUUAAGUACUUCAAUGAUAUGAUCCAAUGGUACAUCAGGUUUAGACAGACGAUACUGGCUCUUAUCUCACGUCUGUUUAAUACCGUGAAGAAGAAAGUACCUGCCACCGCUGCUGGCCCAAGUAACAAGUGAAGAUCUCGCUCCAAUUGACACAAAGGGGGAGAUUGUUGGGUUGAAGAUUUGUUCAAGGGUUGCGUCAUUGGGCUCGGCUGUUAGUCCAUUUGUUUUGUGCUCCGGUUUUGGGCCUGUCCAACCGAGAGCCCGUUAGGUUUAUUAUAUAAGUAUAUGCUUGCAUGCAUAUUAGGCUAACGAUCUUGAUAACGCUUUAGAGAAUUACGAUUACUUUUCUUUAUCGUUCUUGUAAACCUACUAAUCCUCUACAGUUGAUGUUCUUACUCGAGCUCUUCUGAGGGUUUAUUUUAUAAUCAUUCGACACGUAAAAACAGUCGCAAUGUUGAUGAUGAUGUCAAUCGUGUGGCGCGAGAGGCUGAAGAAGCCGAACGCAAGAAGAAAGAAGCCCACGAUCUCCUUGAGAGCAGGAAGACUCUCUUCCCUGCCUGGACUCGGGAGCGAAUGAUUAAGGAGGCCAUAGAUACUCCUAGCAUCCUAUGGCUCGAGCCGGCGAUCUCAUUCGACUGCUAUAAUUCUGUCGAUUCGCAGUUCGACAUGCCGUUGACUCGAAAGGCGUUUAUCUUCCACGCCUUCUCCAAUAUUUUUGAAGUCCCUCAUCCGAACCCUGAGGUUGAUAGGGAACUGAUCGAUUUCUAUCUGAAGGCGGCUCGUCCUCAGUAUCUAACAUGGAGCGCCCAGAAGAUAGUGAAUGUUCGGGUAUUGAAGCCUUAUACCGAAGGAAGAUUCAUCAAUGUUCGGUUCAAGGUGAUUCGAGGGUCUGCAAGAACUGAACAUCUAAUAUCCCUGGCAGAUCUAUCGAACCUAAAUCCUCAUGAUUGGAUCGUUUUGCAUAACAUCCUCUUGACGAAU